AGAGUCCGAGUUGUAAUUUGUAGAGGGUGCUUUGGCGUUGGCUGCGGUCUAAGUUCCUUGGAACAGGACGUCACAGAGGGUGAGAAUCCCGUACGUGGCUGCAUGUCUUCGCCGUGUAAAGCCCCUUCGACGAGUCGAGUUGUUUGGGAAUGCAGCUCUAAAUGGGAGGUAAAUUUCUUCUAAAGCUAAAUAUUGGCCAGAGACCGAUAGCGCACAAGUAGAGUGAUCGAAAGAUGAAAAGCACUUUGGAAAGAGAGUUAAACAGCACGUGAAAUUGUUGAAAGGGAAGCGCUUGCAGCCAGACUUGCCUGUAGUUGCUCAUCCAGGCUUUUGCCCGGUGCACUCUUCUAUAGGCAGGCCAGCAUCAGUCCGGGCGGUUGGAAAAAGGCCUCUUUCACGUAUCUUCCUUCGGGAUGACCUUAUAGAGGAGGCGUAAUGCAAUCAGUCCGGAUUGAGGUCCGCGCAUCUGCUAGGAUGCUGGCGUAAUGGCUGUAAGCGGCCCGUCUUGAAACACGGACCAAGGAGUCUAACAUCUAUGCGAGUGUUUGGGUGUCAAGCCCAGGCGCGUAAUGAAAGUGAACGGAGGUGGGAACCCUUUUGGGUGCACCAUCGACCGAUCCUGAUGUCUUCGGAUGGAUUUGAGUAAGAGCAUAGCUGUUGGGACCCGAAAGAUGGUGAACUAUGCCUGAAUAGGGUGAAGCCAGAGGAAACUCUGGUGGAGGCUCGCAGCGGUUCUGACGUGCAAAUCGAUCGUCAAAUUUGGGCAUAGGGGCGAAAGACUAAUCG
Molecule: ribosomal RNA, 786 nt
Filed under: Xenomassariosphaeria clematidis
Lineage: Eukaryota; Fungi; Ascomycota; Dothideomycetes; Pleosporales; Paradictyoarthriniaceae
Description: partial large subunit ribosomal RNA
Rfam family: Eukaryotic large subunit ribosomal RNA
Source: RNAcentral